GCGGAAGUGGUGGAACUGGUAGACACACCAUCUUGAGGGGGUGGCGGAGCAAUCCAUGCGGGUUCAAGUCCCGCCUUCCGCA
RNAcentral lists this transfer RNA (82 nucleotides) under Candidatus Zixiibacteriota bacterium. RNAcentral describes it as "tRNA-Leu". It matches the Rfam family "tRNA". Rfam says of the family: Transfer RNA (tRNA) molecules are approximately 80 nucleotides in length. Lineage: Bacteria; Pseudomonadati; Candidatus Zixiibacteriota. The record is from RNAcentral.